Aphis gossypii (cotton aphid) is the source of this 643-nucleotide long non-coding RNA. RefSeq lists it as uncharacterized. The transcript is spliced from 3 exons. The record is from RefSeq and is a predicted model, not a curated record. NCBI's taxonomy places the organism in Eukaryota, Metazoa, Arthropoda, Insecta, Hemiptera, Aphididae.
UUAAAAAACAUUCCAAAUCUCCAAUCCACAAGCCUCACGGGCAACUGUCCUAUCGUAUAUUGCUGAAAACUGAAGAAACUAUCGGUAUUAGUAACGAAACUGACUCUAUUGUUCGACAGAAUAUUUUUAUUCAUAAAAACGAACUCUACGUCUACUGAAUUGAUCGGUGCAUACUUCAUACAAGAGGUUUCAAAGCAAAACACUAAAUCUUAAAUUUUGAAAUGGUCGAUAUCGAUGUUAUAGUCAUACUGAUCGUAUAGGCUGUUCUAACCUAAAAAAAAUCCUAACAGGCUGGACUAUAAAAUGUGGUAACUGGCAAUCUAUGGUUCUAUUGGUAUACUGACAAGACUUUAUUAAGUAUUCGAUACUAAAUAUUGCUAAAGUGAUGUCUGAAACCGAGAUCAAGAAGUCAUCCGCAUCGAUGAUUUCGAUGGACCCAAAUAUAGCUCAACCAAACUCGACGUGAUUAUGGACUGUUAAAACCUGAAAACCAGGAGACUAGGAACAGUAAAAGAACCCGGUAACUGAUGUAUUCUAUUCUUUCAACUGUUUAGCUAAGUUUAAUUUGAAAUAAAAUUUAGUUUCUUUUAAAUUUUUAAAAAAUAGUUUUAAAAUAUUAUAGAUUUGUAUCUAAUGAAUUGAU